Molecule: non-coding RNA, 83 nt
Organism: Sistotremastrum suecicum HHB10207 ss-3
Lineage: Eukaryota; Fungi; Basidiomycota; Agaricomycetes; Sistotremastrales; Sistotremastraceae
Source: the annotation of a GenBank genome assembly
GGCCUGAUGGUCUAGUAGCAUGAUUCUCCGUUUGGGUUUUCCUGAGUUCGGAGAGGUCCCGGGUUCAACUCCCGGUCAGGCCC